Molecule: ribosomal RNA, 464 nt
Filed under: Vreelandella stevensii
Lineage: Bacteria; Pseudomonadati; Pseudomonadota; Gammaproteobacteria; Oceanospirillales; Halomonadaceae
Description: partial 16S ribosomal RNA
Rfam family: Bacterial small subunit ribosomal RNA
Source: RNAcentral
CCUACGGGGGGCUGCAGUGGGGAAUAUUGGACAAUGGGGGGAACCCUGAUCCAGCCAUGCCGCGUGUGUGAAGAAGGCCCUCGGGUUGUAAAGCACUUUCAGUGAGGAAGAACGCCUGGUGGUUAAUACCCAUCAGGAAAGACAUCACUCACAGAAGAAGCACCGGCUAACUCCGUGCCAGCAGCCGCGGUAAUACGGAGGGUGCGAGCGUUAUCGGAAUUACUGGGCGUAAAGCGCGCGUAGGUGGCUUGAUAAGCCGGUUGUGAAAGCCCCGGGCUCAACCUGGGAACGGCAUCCGGAACUGUCAAGCUAGAGUGCAGGAGAGGAAGGUAGAAUUCCCGGGGUAGCGGUGAAAUGCGUAGAGAUCGGGAGGAAUACCAGUGGCGAAGGCGGCCUUCUGGACUGACACUGACACUGAGGUGCGAAAGCGUGGGUAGCAAACAGGAUUAGAUACCCUAGUAGUC